RNAcentral lists this non-coding RNA (24 nucleotides) under Arabidopsis thaliana (thale cress). Lineage: Eukaryota; Viridiplantae; Streptophyta; Magnoliopsida; Brassicales; Brassicaceae. The record is from RNAcentral.
UCCAUAUGGGUGACACAUCAUCAC